This 145-nucleotide small RNA is filed under the name Paenibacillus beijingensis. Its description in RNAcentral is "c-di-AMP sequence". It matches the Rfam family "c-di-AMP riboswitch aptamer (ydaO/yuaA leader)". Rfam says of the family: This family represents a conserved RNA structure found upstream of the ydaO and yuaA genes in Bacillus subtilis and related genes in other bacteria. Lineage: Bacteria; Bacillati; Bacillota; Bacilli; Caryophanales; Paenibacillaceae. The record is from Rfam by way of RNAcentral.
UAUAUGAAUAUGCUUAGUUUCCGACAACGUCGGAGAGCGGGGGAACCACCUUUUGGGGCGAAUCAUUUCAUUGCUUUUAAUGAAUGUAGGGUACCAUCUUACCCGAGUCCGUCAGCUAACCUCGUCAGCACAAGAUGGGUCAUUU